AAGAACCUAGACGUGGUUAUCCUCCGUACAUUCACGUUGGCGACCCAUGAGCCUAUAAAAACCGACUCUUCCAACCAUUUCCAACAUCCCACAACCUGUUUCGAUACCCUUCACACAACUCGACACCCUCACUAUUCGAUAACAUCUUUCGUAGAACUUCGCACUCUUGCCUGGACAACCGGAGCUUCGCCGGAAGGAAACAAACAUUGCCGGAGGACCUGCUAGUCACCGGUGAUACGCGUAGUUUUCAUCGGAAUUCGACUCGACUCGCGUUCGGUUAACCGUUUUGUUCGUUCGGAAAUCCUUAUUUUAUACUCGUACGAAUCUCCUUAUACGCAACCACUGUGAACAGGUACGAAGAGAAGAUUGGACAUAGGAUGUGCCUUAGUUAACAAGAAACGGAUUAGUGUAGUUUAUUUAUGUCUCGCGUUUGUAAUUGUUUAUUUGAAUAAAUUGUUUUGUGAAACA
Molecule: long non-coding RNA, 468 nt
Organism: Helianthus annuus (common sunflower)
Lineage: Eukaryota; Viridiplantae; Streptophyta; Magnoliopsida; Asterales; Asteraceae
Exons: 3
Source: RefSeq, a predicted model, not a curated record